This 460-nucleotide ribosomal RNA is filed under the name uncultured bacterium. RNAcentral describes it as "partial 16S ribosomal RNA". It matches the Rfam family "Bacterial small subunit ribosomal RNA", at positions 338 to 795 of the family's 1533-position model. The record is from RNAcentral.
CCUACGGGUGGCAGCAGUGAGGAAUAUUGGUCAAUGGACGAGAGUCCGAACCAGCCAAGUAGCGUGAAGGAUGACUGCCCUAUGGGUUGUAAACUUCUUUUAUAUGGGAAUAAAAUGUUCCACGUGUGGGAUUUUGUAUGUAACAUAUAAAUAAGGAUCGGGUUACGCCGUGCCAGCAGCCGCGGUAAUAAGGAGGAUCCGAGCGUUAUCCGGAUUUAUUGGGUUUAAAGGGGGUGUUGGUGGGUUUUUAAGUCAGUUGUGAAAGUUUGCGGCUCAACCGUAACAUUGCAGUUGAAACUGGCAGUCGUGAGUAGGGUAGAGGUAGGCGGAAUGCGUGGUGUAGCGGUGAAAUGCUUAGAUAUCACGAAGAACUCCGAUUGCGAAGGCAGCUCACUGGCCUGCAACUGACACUGAGGCUCGAAAGUGUGGGUAUCGAACAGGAUUAGAUACCCGGGUAGUC